GAGUUUGAUCGUGGCUCAGGAUGAACGCUGGCGGCGUGCCUAAUACAUGCAAGUCGAGCGAACGGACGAGAAGCUUGCUUCUCUGAUGUUAGCGGCGGACGGGCGAGUAACACGUGGAUAACCUACCUAUAAGACUGGGAUAACUUCGGGAAACCGGAGCUAAUACCGGAUAAUAUUUUGAACCGCAUGGUUCAAAAGUGAAAGACGGUCUUGCUGUCACUUAUAGAUGGAUCCGCGCUGCAUUAGCUAGUUGGUAAGGUAACGGCUUACCAAGGCAACGAUGCAUAGCCGACCUGAGAGGGUGAUCGGCACACUGGAACUGAGACACGGUCCAGACUCCUACGGGAGGCAGCAGUAGGGAAUCUUCCGGCAAUGGGCGAAAGCCUGACGGAGCAACGCCGCGUGAGUGAUGAAGGUCUUCGGAUCGUAAAACUCUGUUAUUAGGGAAGAACGAU
RNAcentral lists this ribosomal RNA (455 nucleotides) under uncultured microorganism. RNAcentral's name for it is "bacterial SSU rRNA". It matches the Rfam family "Bacterial small subunit ribosomal RNA", at positions 9 to 453 of the family's 1533-position model. The record is from RNAcentral.